RNAcentral lists this ribosomal RNA (254 nucleotides) under uncultured bacterium. RNAcentral describes it as "partial 16S ribosomal RNA". It matches the Rfam family "Bacterial small subunit ribosomal RNA", at positions 524 to 776 of the family's 1533-position model. The record is from RNAcentral.
UACGUAGGGACCGAGCGUUGUCCGGAUUCAUUGGGCGUAAAGAGCUCGUAGGCGGCUGCUCAAGUCGAAUGUGAAAACUCGAGGCUCAACCUCGAGCCUGCAUUCGAUACUGGGCGGCUAGAGUCUGGUAGGGGGGAUCUGGAAUUCCUGGUGUAGCGGUGGAAUGCGCAGAUAUCAGGAGGAACACCGGUGGCGAAGGCGGUCUCCUGGAGCAUACUUGACGCUGAGGCGCGAAAGCUGGGGGAGCGAACGGG